Long non-coding RNA from Lepisosteus oculatus (spotted gar), 735 nucleotides. RefSeq lists it as uncharacterized. NCBI's taxonomy places the organism in Eukaryota, Metazoa, Chordata, Actinopteri, Semionotiformes, Lepisosteidae. The record is from RefSeq and is a predicted model, not a curated record.
CUGUUUCGUUUUCAACUAUACUGGACUACUUACUGAAGUCUGACAUUUUCAAGUUCACAAACUACAGCUAUAUCACAACCCUAUUAGGAUGCAUCUCUCUGCUGAGAAACACAUCGUUGACAAGUGACGGAGAUCCUCCAGCCUAGCCUGACCUGGCUCCAGCUGAAGCCUCCAGGGCAACAUCCUAACCAGAUCCCCACACCACCUCAACUGGCUGCUCUUAAUCCAGAAGUGUUGCCACUGUAUGCCCAGGCUCUCCCACAGCAGUGACAGAUGUGUUGUCAACACAUAUUUGAUAAGUCCAUUGAAACUGUUCGGUUACUAACUGUUGCACAUACAGUACAAUACAGUUGUCAGAAGACUGAAUUGCUUCAUCUUAAAAAGCAAAUAUUUCAGAAUGAACAGGAAGUACAGAAAAGGAAGUGUUCAUUUUGACCUUUAUUAUCUCAUUCAACAUAUAAUAAUUUAAAUACAUGUUUUCUUUAAAAAAAGGAAGAUGACCAAGGAAGAAUAUUUUUCAUAUCUCAACAUGAUGCAUUUAAGAAGAAUUAAAGACUGACCCCAUUUAAAACAUCACAAUAGUAUACUGUACAUUUACAGAAAACUAUACCUGCUACAAAUAAGCAAAAUUACAGCAAACUCACUAUUGGAACUUCCCAGCAGUGACAUUGUCAUUAGCAGCAAAUGAUCAAAUUAUCUUUACUUGCAUCAAAUAAAUAUCUUUCGUCUCUUGUA